This 478-nucleotide ribosomal RNA is filed under the name Marginella cloveri. RNAcentral describes it as "partial 16S ribosomal RNA". It matches the Rfam family "Bacterial large subunit ribosomal RNA", at positions 1845 to 2598 of the family's 2925-position model. Lineage: Eukaryota; Metazoa; Mollusca; Gastropoda; Neogastropoda; Marginellidae. The record is from RNAcentral.
AUAAAGAAUCGUACCUGCCCAGUGAAGAAUUUAAAUGGCCGCGGUACUUUGACCGUGCGAAGGUAGCAUAAUCAUUUGCCUUAUAAUUGAGGGCUGGAAUGAAUGGUUUGACAAGAAUUUGACUGUCUUUGGAAAAUUUUAUUGAAUUUCUUUUUUAUGUGAAGAAUCAUAAAUAUUAUUAAUAGACAAGAAGACCCUGUUGAGCUUAAAUUUGAUUUUAAGUUUUGAUAAAUAUUUUGAAAUGAAAAUUUUUGUUGGGGCGACUGAGGAACAAUUAAAGCUUCCUUAUAUUUAUUUUGACUUAUUUGUAAGAGAUCCAUUAAAGAUUGAUUAGUAGAAAGAGUUACCACAGGGAUAACAGCAUAAUUCUAUUUGGGAUUAUUUAUUGAAAAUGGAGUUUGUGACCUCGAUGUUGGAUCAAAAUAUCCUAAUGGGAAGAAUCUAUUAAGGGUUAGUCUGUUCGACUAUAAAAAUUUUA